This 423-nucleotide ribosomal RNA is filed under the name uncultured bacterium. RNAcentral's name for it is "bacterial SSU rRNA". It matches the Rfam family "Bacterial small subunit ribosomal RNA", at positions 355 to 775 of the family's 1533-position model. The record is from RNAcentral.
UAAGGAAUAUUGGUCAAUGGACGCAAGUCUGAACCAGCCAUGCCGCGUGGAGGAUUAAGGCCCUCUGGGUUGUAAACUCCUUUUAUCUGGGAAGAAAUCCAUAUAUUCUUAUGUGGUUGACGGUACCAGAGGAAUAAGCACCGGCUAACUCCGUGCCAGCAGCCGCGGUAAUACGGAGGGUGCAAGCGUUAUCCGGAUUCACUGGGUUUAAAGGGUGCGUAGGCGGGUAAGUAAGUCCGUGGUGAAAUCUCUGAGCUUAACUCAGAAACUGCCGUGGAUACUAUUUGCCUUGAAUAUUGUGGAGGUGAGCGGAAUAUGUCAUGUAGCGGUGAAAUGCUUAGAUAUGACAUAGAACACCAAUUGCGAAGGCAGCUCACUACACAAUCAUUGACGCUGAGGCACGAAAGCGUGGGGAUCAAACAG